AUUGAACGCUGGCGGCAUGCCUUACACAUGCAAGUCGAACGGCAGCACGGGUGCUUGCACCUGGUGGCGAGUGGCGAACGGGUGAGUAAUACAUCGGAACAUGUCCUGUAGUGGGGGAUAGCCCGGCGAAAGCCGGAUUAAUACCGCAUACGAUCUACGGAUGAAAGCGGGGGACCUUCGGGCCUCGCGCUAUAGGGGUGGCCGCUGGCUGAUUAGCUAGUUGGUGGGGUAAAGGCCUACCAAGGCGACGAUCAGUAGCUGGUCUGAGAGGACGACCAGCCACACUGGGACUGAGACACGGCCCAGACUCCUACGGGAGGCAGCAGUGGGGAAUUUUGGACAAUGGGCGAAAGCCUGAUCCAGCAAUGCCGCGUGUGUGAAGAAGGCCUUCGGGUUGUAAAGCACUUUUGUCCGGAAAGAAAUCCUUGGCCCUAAUACGGUCGGGGGAUGACGGUACCGGAAGAAUAAGCACCGGCUAACUACGUG
Molecule: ribosomal RNA, 486 nt
Filed under: uncultured bacterium
Lineage: Bacteria
Description: partial 16S ribosomal RNA
Rfam family: Bacterial small subunit ribosomal RNA
Source: RNAcentral